AUGAUAACUUUCCCCGGCAGCACAUAUACUAAAAUUGGAACGAUACAGAGAAUAUUAGCAUGGCCCCUGCGCAAAGGCCGGGGGAAGAACUUCUCUGUUUUU
Symsagittifera roscoffensis is the source of this 102-nucleotide small nuclear RNA. The record is from RefSeq and is a predicted model, not a curated record. NCBI's taxonomy places the organism in Eukaryota, Metazoa, Xenacoelomorpha, Acoela, Convolutidae.